This 115-nucleotide ribosomal RNA is filed under the name Cordylochernes scorpioides. The record is from RNAcentral. Lineage: Eukaryota; Metazoa; Arthropoda; Arachnida; Pseudoscorpiones; Chernetidae.
ACGACCAUACCACAUUGAAAACACCGGUUCUCGUCCGAUCACAGAAGUUAAGCAAUGUUGGGCCCGGUCAGUACUUGGGAGGGUGACCACCUGGGAACACCGAGUGUAGUUGAUU